UACAGAGGUCCCAAGCGUUGUUCGGAUUCACUGGGCGUAAAGGGUGCGUAGGAGGUCAGGUAAGUAGGAUGUGAAAUCCUGCCGCUUAACGGCAGAACUGCAUUCUAAACUGCUUGACUAGAGGAUCGGAGAGGAGAGCGGAAUUCUUGGUGUAGCGGUGAAAUGCGUAGAUAUCAAGAGGAACGCCAACGGCGAAGGCAGCUCUCUGGAAGAUUCCUGACUCUGAGGCACGAAGGCCAGGGUAGCAAACGGG
RNAcentral lists this ribosomal RNA (253 nucleotides) under uncultured bacterium. Its description in RNAcentral is "partial 16S ribosomal RNA". It matches the Rfam family "Bacterial small subunit ribosomal RNA", at positions 524 to 776 of the family's 1533-position model. The record is from RNAcentral.